CCCACAAGCGUUCUAAAACCCUAGCUCCGGGGAAAUCCCGAUCCCCUUCUCCGCCUUCUCUUUCUCCUCUCCGGCCAUGGCGAAGGGGAAAAUGAAGCCUCAUCUCGCGUCUUUCACCCUCUACGGCGACUAUCUCGCUGUUCUUUCCCCGGACGGAACCGUUAAGUUUAUUAUUUCUCUAUUUCUUGUGUUUCUACGACUCGUAACUCUGAUUGUCUGUUUUCCAUAAUCUGGAUAUUCAGUGGCUGUUCUUCGAUGUAAUUUUUAUGCAUUUGGGAGAUGAAAAGUCUCUUGUUGUUUUGGCUUCAGAUUCUUACAAUCAGGUUGUAUAGCCAAUUUCAUUCGACGAGUAUCUCUAUUCAUCAAUCUUUACGUUCUGGAAUGUGAAAUUGAAAUUAAUUCCAGGAAAUAUAUCAUAUUCCGAUCAUUUUAGUUGUUGGCUCCUUGUUGGGUAUGUAAGUGAUCUCUGGAAUGAGUUAUUUCUGUGGCAAUGGCUAAUUGCAAGUAGCAAUUAGCUCAGUUUGGCUUACGUUACAUGACAUUAUACAGCCAGCUCCACAGAAUAAGGUAGGUUAUGGAGAAAUGCUGAGACGGGCGGGAGGAUCAAUCAGGAUUCGUGCCCAGUUUCUGUGAUUAGGGUUUCUAAAUUAUCUUGGCUGUUGCUUUAGGUCUGGAGUACUGCAGAUGGAAGCUUAUUAGCUAAAUGUCAGCAUUCGGAUGGGUAGCCUGGUAUAAGCAGUUCAUGCAUAGCUAAAUCUUUGUUUGCAAGAUGGUUUUCUCAUUUACGUCAGUGUUGUUUAUUUUCUUGUCUGGUAUAGCAUAAGAAGGUGCUUACUAGCUCUCGUGCAGAGGAUGGUAGCAUCUUUUUCAUGAUCUUAAUGACGGAUAAGAAUCUAAUUGCAAUAGCUUCCAGGAAGUUUAGGAUCUUAGAACUAGAAAACGGAAAGAGCUCGUGAAAUUUCCAAAUGAUGUGGUGAGUGCGGCACUCAGAAUGCCAUACCUACUCAUAACCUCUGUGGUUAAACAUUAAGUUCCAAGUUUAUAUUUUCUGAAUUCUUUAGGGUCCCAUAAAGGGGAUAAUGGGAAGACUGUGAUUACAUCAGAGAUUGGACAACCGUGCACAAGUGUGCAGAAGCACCGAAGCAGUACCGAUGAGCAAGACAGUCCUGUUGUACUUGCCAAUCCCCAUUCUGGUCCAGCAAAUCCAUUUUUGCCGCCAAGUUGCUUUCUGUAGAAGCAGACAAGCCAGUUGUGCCCGUAGUGGCUUAUGGUUCUGUGGAUUCUUCCAACUUCAGCCACGUUGAGAUCAGUACAACUGGAGGUGAGGUAGCUGAUGCUCCAGCCCAUGAUAAGAGUACGAACAGGAAGCAACCCGAGUCUGAUCCCAGUUUACCCGCUACAAGGGUGCUGCGAGAUUCUGUUUCCGGUCUUGUCUGACAUAGGCCUUGACGAAGUUGCAGCUGGAGUUCUUGUCAGUGAUGAUCCUGACGAACCAACCAUGGGGGAGAAACUCGAGAAUCUUGAUUUGUUAGAGAAUGAAAAGCGUGAUAACCGGGAGCCUCUAGAGGCUUCCCUUCCAGACGUAGCGCCGACCGCAGCCUCAGUCAAUGUUCUUCCAGACGGGAUGGCACGUACUAUCAAGAGUUAAGUUGGUCACGUGCUCACCAUGUGAAGACAAGUCAACUGGAGAACAUAUCCUGCAAUCUACGCCGACACUACCUAUACAAAAGCAAAGUCUACAAUUGCUUUUACAUGGAGAGGUACCAAAAGAUGCAACGACCUGCGACACAUUAAUGUUGGGAUUGAGAACUAAUUGAUUACUUUUUCUUUACUUACACAAGUGUAUGUAUACACAGCUUAAUAUAUAUGUUUUGCAAGGCAGAGUCUUUACAUGGUUAUGUAAGAGAAACAUCUGAAUGAAAAGGGUUUCCGCUUGAGUUGUCUU
Long non-coding RNA from Tarenaya hassleriana, 1945 nucleotides. RefSeq lists it as uncharacterized. The record is from RefSeq and is a predicted model, not a curated record. The transcript is spliced from 3 exons. Lineage: Eukaryota; Viridiplantae; Streptophyta; Magnoliopsida; Brassicales; Cleomaceae.